This 1036-nucleotide long non-coding RNA is filed under the name Sitophilus oryzae (rice weevil). RNAcentral describes it as "uncharacterized LOC115883163, transcript variant X1". The record is from RNAcentral. Lineage: Eukaryota; Metazoa; Arthropoda; Insecta; Coleoptera; Curculionidae.
AUAAAAUUGUAGGUACUUUCAAGAAAUAUAGUUAACUACAAGAAUUAGAUUACAGCGAUGGUCAAAAGCAUUUAGAUAUUGCUUUGAAAUCUACAGAUAAGUAUUUACAUAGGAAAAUAUUGGAGGAUGAGGCUCUACCUACUGCCUCAGGUUAAUUUAAAUUCUGAGUUGCAACAACAGCAACAAGCAAGAAGGGCACCAUUAAAUGAAUAUUAUACACAUAAGUAUUAUUAUACACAGAAAGAGUAAUGUUAUACACAUAAAUAUUAACAUUUUGUAGAGCAACAACAGAAUAAAAAACCAAAAUAUGAACACCAGCAACUAAAACAGGAACCAUUAAAUGAAUAUUAUAUACAGCAAUAACAGCAUCAAAUAAUGGAAAUAAUGGACCCUAUUGCUCAAAUCAAAAACAAAAUUUCAGCAUUACCACUUUAUUGGUUAUAUCAAUAAAAGAAAUUGAAUUUAUGAGUCUAGAUCCUACAAGCAUGCAGAGCUAUCACAUAAUUUUAAAUGAAGAUUUAUCUAUUAUAGUAAUUUAUUCUAAUAACGAAAAAAAAAACUUUGGAUCAAAAAAUAUUUUCUUCUGAUGAGGUUUAUGAAUAUUAAAGUCUGUUGAAGUUUGGCCAUUAUGUGUUGCUAUACAAUUUAUUUAUGAUGUUACAGUAGUUAAACCAUCCGAGUACGAAACAUGUUUAAAAUCCACUAUUCUUAAUGAAUGGCAACUACCAACUUGAGAGGAAGCUAAGAGAAAGGUUCUAUUGGGUGAACUACAAGGAAGACAUGAGCAUCUGGAAGGGCUAUAAAAUUAUAUUAUUAUUUCACGCCCCAAGCCAUGUUGGAAUAGCUGGGAGUGAAAAAGAAGAUAAUACUGCACACAAUUCUUGUCUAGAAGUAGUUGAUAUUAAGGUAGUUAAGCCAUCCGACUAUCAAACAUUUAAAAUUCACUAUUCUGAAUGAAUGGCAAUUACGUUGGCAAAACGUAAAUAAAUACUUGUAUAGUAUAAAAUUACAUUAUAUUGGCUUAAUUCUUAUACUA